GCUUGUUUGCUGGCCGGUGCGCCUCGCAGCCAGCCCUGAGCCGGGUGUGACUGCCUCUGGGCCACCCGAUCCCGGCCGUGGGGCGCAGCUUCCAGGCUGGCGGCCCAGACACGCCAACUCCGCUGUGGUUCCUAGCCGAGAAUAAACCCCAUCCUGUUUCUCCUAUUCACAGAAAGUUAGUCAGAAACAGUCUUUUUGGUGUGGGGAGUGAAAAACCCCUACUAGCAGCAUAAAUGGGAGAGAAAGCUCGUGGCCUGUAGAAUCACAGAACACUGGUAUUGAAAGUGAUUUUCUACUAAAGCCCUCGCCGAACGGUGGGACGGCGGAGGGCCGGCGGGUCCGGCAGCCCAGACCAAACGCCAGUCUGAUGCCUGUUUGCAGAGCCUCAGUGAACUGCACUGCCGCCGCCUGCUAUUUUCACACGCUCCCCAGCUGUCCCCCCCACCGCUGCCGCCGCCGCCAGCCCACCGAAGAAAAGGGACACACAUUUCUGGAAGAAUCUGGACCUGACCUAAAGCACAGUGUAGUUAAGCAGCUCUAGCUCCGUGUUCCGGACCCAGCAUCUGGGUGCCCUGACCUUGGACCCCACUGGAGAGAAGGGUCUGUCGGUGGUACAGCUGUCUCUCCAGGAAGCUGAAUCUCCUGGCCCCUGAGUUAGGACAGCCCCUGCUCCCUUCUUCAUCAGUGUUUGCCAGAGCUCCAUGAGACCAG
RNAcentral lists this long non-coding RNA (711 nucleotides) under Equus caballus (horse). RNAcentral's name for it is "lncRNA (ENSECAG00000054346.1)". The record is from RNAcentral. Lineage: Eukaryota; Metazoa; Chordata; Mammalia; Perissodactyla; Equidae.